Molecule: ribosomal RNA, 437 nt
Filed under: Wolbachia pipientis
Lineage: Bacteria; Pseudomonadati; Pseudomonadota; Alphaproteobacteria; Rickettsiales; Anaplasmataceae
Description: bacterial SSU rRNA
Rfam family: Bacterial small subunit ribosomal RNA
Source: RNAcentral
CAUACCUAUUCGAAGGGAUAGGGUCGGUUUGGCCGGAUUUCACACAGGUGUUGCAUGGCUGUCGUCAGCUCGUGUCGUGAGAUGUUGGGUUAAGUCCCGCAACGAGCGCAACCCUCAUCCUUAGUUACCAUCAGGUUAUGCUGGGGACUUUAAGGAAACUGCCAGUGAUAAACUGGAGGAAGGUGGGGAUGAUGUCAAGUCAUCAUGGCCCUUAUGGAGUGGGCUACACACGUGCUACAAUGGUGAUUACAAUGGGCUGCAAGGUCGCAAGGCUGAGCUAAUCCUAAAAAAUCAUCUCAGUUCGGAUUGUUCUCUGCAACUCCAGAGCAUGAAGUUGGAAUCGCUAGUAAUCGUGGAUCAGCAUGCCACGGUGAAUACGUUCUCGGGUCUUGUACACACUGCCCGUCACGCCAUGGGAAUUGGUUUCACUCGAAGCU